UACAGAGGUCUCAAGCGUUGUUCGGAUUUAUUGGGCGUAAAGGGUGUGUAGGUGGCGCCGUAAGUCGGGUGUGAAAUUUCGGAGCUUAACUCCGAACCUGCAUUCGAUACUGCGGUGCUUGAGGACUGGAGAGGAGACUGGAAUUCAUGGUGUAGCAGUGAAAUGCGUAGAGAUCAUGAGGAAGACCAGUGGCGAAGGCGGGUCUCUGGACAGUUCCUGACACUGAGACACGAAGGCCAGGGGAGCAAACGGG
This 253-nucleotide ribosomal RNA is filed under the name uncultured bacterium. RNAcentral's name for it is "partial 16S ribosomal RNA". It matches the Rfam family "Bacterial small subunit ribosomal RNA", at positions 524 to 776 of the family's 1533-position model. The record is from RNAcentral.